UGAACAAGCAAGGGAGCUCGGAAGAGGACCCAAGCUCCAGUUGAGAACACGUGAUUCCAGCCUUGUAAGGCCCCACCCAAAGGACCCAGAGGCAGAUCAACAACAUAGGUGAUGAGGGCAGGUAUUGUCUUCCCCAUUUGCUGAGACAAUGGGACAACUGAGGACUGCCAGGAGUAAGAAAUUAUUUUCAAAAUGAAAGCAGAAAAUCUUCACUGAACAUUUUGCUCUGCUUGGUGCUGUGGAAGGUACCAGCCAGACAUGGAGAGGGAACUCAGCCAUAAGAGGCUUAAAGUCAGACAACAGAGAAGACUCACAUUCACAAUCAGCAGCACACACAACAGGGAAUAACAUUUUCCAAGAGUGAUACUCAAGCCACAUGCUGUGGGAACGCACUGCCAUGAACUAAGAAAGGCCUAGAUUUCCCAACUAGGGAUGGGCCCUUGCACCUAGGACAGUGGAAAGCCCCUGAAGAUUUAUGAGAAGGGCCAAGUUGUUUGCUUGUGUGUUAAAUGUUUUAUUAAGCAAUAUGUUUGUGAAUAAGGAAGAAGACAAACUAGAUGCCAGGAGACGAGCUGCCCACACAUAGCUUAAGAGAAGGGUGGAACACUGGCUCCCUCUGGGAGGCUGCAGGAUUGUCUGAACACCCAUCCCCCAAAGCCACUGCCAACUGCUACAGCAGAGCUGGGGGCCCAAACCUAGAGCAAUGCCACCUGGAGAGAAAGCAGCAGUGAGAAGUGGAGGAUCCAGCAGUUACCCUACAGGGACCCAGGUAUGGUGCCUGAGUGGCAGGUGGGAGGGUGUGUCUGUGCAGAGACCCCUGUGCUGAGGCCUGCCUCAGAGCAGCCACCAUCAAAGCCAGCCCUUGAGGGUUGAAGAACGGUUCAUCUUUCAAGGCACAGAUCAGAGGGGGCAUUUCCAGGGGCCAGGAAAGCAGCUCACCGGGCAAUGCCAUUUAUGCAGCCAAAGCCUCACUUGAGCAGACCCCUUGGCACAAGUUUGGACUCCACAUGCUUUAGCCAAGAGGCGUCCUUUCUGAGGCUGAUAGAAUGUGUGCACGGACCGGCCCCAAACCCAGCUUUCUUGCCUCUUAAAAGAUGCUUUCUUUUAUUAUUGUUGACUUUGUUUUUAUGUUUCUUUCACUUUUGCCUGACCUCCACAUCUAGAGACACUGUGUGGCCUCUGUAAGUUGCUCUGAUUUUCCAACUAAGUCACAAAGGCACAGAUAAAGGGGGAAAUCCAGAAAACUGCCAAAGUGAGGUGUUUACUCCAUAAUAACCUCCAACUCACAGGGUUCUUUGGAGAAAAAGAUGAAAAAACAGGCUGGAAAACAUUAUAUAAACUGUAAAGGAAUAUCCCCAAAGGUGCUGUUCUAAUUAUUAAAUUGACAUAGGGCAAAAAUAAGGCAUCCUUAGACUCUGAGGUAUAACCAAGUAAAAGCAACAUGAAAUGAAUGAGCUCAGGCAUCUUCAGAAGCCUACAUUCAACUAACUUGUCUCUCAGGGCAAGAAGGAACAAGAUCUUGGUAAUCUAAUCUAAUGUCCUUUUAGCUGUAAGAAAGUCUAGUGAAAAUCAAUGGUCUGAGUACAUCUGAAGAAAGAUUACUUAAAUUAAACGGGUCUGCCGUAAGAGGAAGCUUGGGAGAGAGAAGGCAACAAAUAUCUGCCUCCUCCAUGCAUAUCUCAUCAGUCAGCAGGAAUCAAGGGUGGCGCCAGUUAUGUGGUCCAAUUUAGGGAACUUGGGUCUCGGCCCUGAAGUCAAGGCCAGAAAGACACAGUCCUACAAAGAACCAGCGUAGAACUGAGAGAUCCAGUAUCAGUUCAAAGACCAAUAACAAGUUAAAUAUUAAUUAACUAAAUUGGAA
Long non-coding RNA from Choloepus didactylus (southern two-toed sloth), 1861 nucleotides. RefSeq lists it as uncharacterized. NCBI's taxonomy places the organism in Eukaryota, Metazoa, Chordata, Mammalia, Pilosa, Megalonychidae. The transcript is spliced from 3 exons. The record is from RefSeq and is a predicted model, not a curated record.